This 254-nucleotide ribosomal RNA is filed under the name uncultured bacterium. RNAcentral describes it as "partial 16S ribosomal RNA". It matches the Rfam family "Bacterial small subunit ribosomal RNA", at positions 524 to 776 of the family's 1533-position model. The record is from RNAcentral.
UACGUAGGGUCCGAGCGUUGUCCGGAAUUAUUGGGCGUAAAGAGCUCGUAGGCGGUCUGUCGCGUCGAUCGUGAAAACUUGGGGCUUAACCCUGAGCUUGCGGUCGAUACGGGCAUGACUGGAGUUCGGCAGGGGAGACUGGAAUUCCUGGUGUAGCGGUGAAAUGCGCAGAUAUCAGGAGGAACACCGGUGGCGAAGGCGGGUCUCUGGGCCGAUACUGACGCUGAGGAGCGAAAGCGUGGGGAGCGAACAGG